UCAUCAGAGGUGUUUGAGGGGGCGGUUUGGCUUGAUGAAUAAAAGCUUAUCAGCAGGAACAAAUACUGCAGACUGAACACUAAAUGGCUAAAUGAACACAUUUGAAAAUGAAUAAUGAAUUGUGUCCAAGUAAGACAGGGCUGACUGCAUGUAGAAUGUUAGGAGAAAUAAUGGUUUUUGUAUUAAGUGGUUUUACAUUAAAAUGAAUGAAGCAAAUGGCAAUAAAACACCAGCAAUUCAACAGAAAUAAAGCAAAAGGAAAGUUUGAAAAGCUUUGGGGGUCCUGGUCGGCUGAGUGGUUCAGCAUCUUUGUCAAUCAGGAAUAGGAUUACUGUGGAGGGACAUUGUGCUGGACAUCAUGGGCUGGAUCAGUGGUGAGGCAGAAAGACAGAGAUGGGCUCAUCAGGGUGACGGCAGGGCGAUGUUUCCACCUGAGCGAUGCUUCCAUGCUGCGGGCCGUGCUUAAUAAGCAGCUGUUCGGUGCGUCGAUGCCCGCCAAGCACUCUCUGGGUCCAUCCAGAAGUCACAAAGUCCAGUUGGACCCUGGACGUAGCGGCAGGAGCAGCAUACCA
RNAcentral lists this long non-coding RNA (572 nucleotides) under Takifugu rubripes (torafugu). RNAcentral describes it as "lncRNA (ENSTRUG00000028464.1)". The record is from RNAcentral. Lineage: Eukaryota; Metazoa; Chordata; Actinopteri; Tetraodontiformes; Tetraodontidae.